RNAcentral lists this transfer RNA (77 nucleotides) under candidate division WWE3 bacterium CG_4_9_14_0_2_um_filter_35_11. RNAcentral's name for it is "tRNA-Trp". It matches the Rfam family "tRNA". Rfam says of the family: Transfer RNA (tRNA) molecules are approximately 80 nucleotides in length. Their secondary structure includes four short double-helical elements and three loops (D, anti-codon, and T loops). The record is from RNAcentral. Lineage: Bacteria; candidate division WWE3. RNAcentral also lists the same sequence under 1 other name.
GGGUAAGUAGUUUGAACUGGAUAAAAUAGUGGACUCCAAAUCCACAGUUACGGGUUCGAGUCCCGUCUUUCCCACCA